RNAcentral lists this unclassified non-coding RNA (349 nucleotides) under Limnodrilus hoffmeisteri complex sp. VIII. RNAcentral describes it as "internal transcribed sapcer 1". Lineage: Eukaryota; Metazoa; Annelida; Clitellata; Tubificida; Naididae. The record is from RNAcentral.
CCGAUACCCACACACGUACAGAGGACGCACGUCCGACGUACAAGUAGUCCGUUGGCAGAAGACGCGCAGCGGCCGCUCGACACAGCGUCGUCGGUCGCGGUUGGUGGAGCAGUUACGGUUGGAAUCGAACGAAUCAGAAUACCCGUUGACGCUUCGGGGUACCUGUCGCACGUCGUCCGUUUUGCGUGCGGUGAGCAGGCCUCGGGCUUCGGCCCCCGGUCGGCGAAGGUCCAACGAACCGGGCGCGCGAAAGCGCGUUCGGUCGCCCCGUCGCAUUCUCAUUUUCACGUCGCACAGUUGCCGUACGGUCGCAGUUAACCAGUCAGGACAAGCCAAGAGUUACACAGAC